RNAcentral lists this ribosomal RNA (253 nucleotides) under uncultured bacterium. Its description in RNAcentral is "partial 16S ribosomal RNA". It matches the Rfam family "Bacterial small subunit ribosomal RNA", at positions 524 to 776 of the family's 1533-position model. The record is from RNAcentral.
UACAGAGGUCUCAAGCGUUGUUCGGAUUCAUUGGGCGUAAAGGGUGUGUAGGUGGCGCGCUAAGUCGGGUGUGAAAUUUCGGAGCUUAACUCCGAAACUGCAUUCGAUACUGGCGUGCUUGAGGACUGGAGAGGAGACUGGAAUUCAUGGUGUAGCAGUGAAAUGCGUAGAGAUCAUGAGGAAGACCAGUGGCGAAGGCGGGUCUCUGGACAGUUCCUGACACUGGGACACGAAGGCCAGGGGAGCAAACGGG